RNAcentral lists this ribosomal RNA (502 nucleotides) under uncultured eukaryote. Its description in RNAcentral is "bacterial SSU rRNA". It matches the Rfam family "Eukaryotic small subunit ribosomal RNA", at positions 57 to 549 of the family's 1831-position model. The record is from RNAcentral.
GCCCAGUCCUCACUUUGGUACAGUGAAACCGCGAAUGGCUCAUUAAAUCAGCUACUAUUUAUUGGAUCGUUAACAGUUACUUGGAUAACUGUGGGAAUUCUAGAGCUAAUACAUGCCGAAAGUCGCUGCUACAGGUGAGCAGCGCGCAGUUAUUAGUCCAAAACUAAUCGGCUCUCUUCGGAGACCGUUUCCUUUGGUGACUCUAGAUAACGAUCAGUUGAUCGCAUGGCCUCGAGCCGGCGACGUAUCCUUCAAGUGGCUGACCUAUCAACUAUCGAUGGUACGUUAAAUGCCUACCAUGGUGAUAACGGGUCACGGGGAAUCGGGGUUUGAUUCCGGAGAGGGAGCCUUAGAAAUGGCUACCACAUCCAAGGAUGGCAGCAGGCGCGCAAAUUACCCACUCCCAGCUCGGGGAGGUAGUGACGAAAAAUAACGAUGCGGGACUCUAAGAGGCCCCGUAAUUGGAAUGAGUACAACCUAAAAAGUUGUGCGAGUAUCGAUU